This 901-nucleotide non-coding RNA is filed under the name Pongo abelii (Sumatran orangutan). Lineage: Eukaryota; Metazoa; Chordata; Mammalia; Primates; Hominidae. The record is from RNAcentral.
GUACUCAGAAAGGCAAAACAUCUUGCUCAAGGGCUCACAACUAUUUAGGUGGUAGAGCUAAGAUAUGAACCUACCUCUGACACCAAAGUGCACUUCAACACCCUACUAUCACCCAACAAAGAAUUCUGGCCACAGAAUCACCUUGCUGCGGUAUUCCUGACUGAAUCAAGAUACGCUGGGGAAGAGGCAGCUGAAGACAGCCCGGGUUCUGACCUCGGCCCUGCUGCCUAACUGCCUGGCGACUUCAGGUUUUCUAAUCACAGAAUUACUGGAGCGUCAAGAAGCGCCUGCAUGCUUGGAAGGGCUUCCAGGCAGAUGAACACACCUCAGCACCGGGUGGCAGUUUCCCAGGGUGCAACCCGGACCGGCUCUGGGUCACACUGACAAGGAGGGGCUGAGUGAUGCUCCUUCUCUAACUCAAGAGACGUAGGCGUGAAGAACAGGGCACAAGAUCCCGAGGAGCAAAGGGUCAUCAGCUGUCCCCAUCCAGCAGAAUCUCACAGCGCCACUGGCUGACCACAGUGCACCCCUCCUGAGCUGAAGUGUUCCCAUUCUCUCCGCAGCCUCUCCGACUCCCCAGGCUGGGUUGGGUGCUCCUCCCUCUCAUCCCACAGCGCUAUGUCUCAUGUCUUCUGGAAAACUUGCCAAUCCCUAGUGAUAACAAGGAUUAACAAUUUCCAGAGACAGCCCGUACAUAGAGGGAAAGUUUACUGAAAAAAAUGAAGAGGGGUCAGGGCAAGGCGAGGAGCAAGAAGCAUCCCCAAGGAAACAGAGAAGACCAGUACAACUGUACCUCUUUGCCAGCUGCACCAUCCGUACCAGUCUCCUGGGGUGGGAGUGUACAGCUCAGAGACUGCCACACUGCAAGACGAAGGGGCUGGAUGGACGGAAGUAAGAGGCG